RNAcentral lists this unclassified non-coding RNA (308 nucleotides) under uncultured fungus. RNAcentral's name for it is "sequence contains ITS2". The stretch from base 1 to 52 matches the Rfam family "5.8S ribosomal RNA", at positions 103 to 154 of the family's 154-position model. The record is from RNAcentral. Lineage: Eukaryota; Fungi.
AACGCACCUUGCGCUCCCUGGUAUUCCGGGGAGCAUGUCUGUUUGAGUGUCAUGAACUCUUCAACCCACCGGUUUCUAGUGAACUGGCUGGUGUUUGGAUUCUGAGUGUUGCUGGCUUGCAAAAGCGAAGCUCACUCGUAAUUGAUUAGCAUCUCAUAUUCGAAAAUCGGAUUGACUCAGUGUAAUAGACUAUUCGCUGAGGACGCUUCCCUUGGGAAGUGGCCGAGUUUUGUAAAGUAGAAGCUUCUAACCUACUAGUCAACUUUAGAUUAGACCUCAGAUCAGGCAGGAUUACCCGCUGAACUUAA